RNAcentral lists this ribosomal RNA (253 nucleotides) under uncultured bacterium. RNAcentral describes it as "partial 16S ribosomal RNA". It matches the Rfam family "Bacterial small subunit ribosomal RNA", at positions 524 to 776 of the family's 1533-position model. The record is from RNAcentral.
UACGGAGGGUGCUAGCGUUGUUCGGAAUCACUGGGCGUAAAGCGCACGUAGGCGGAUUGUUAAGUCAGGGGUGAAAUCCUGGAGCUCAACUCCAGAACUGCCUUUGAUACUGGCAAUCUCGAGUUCGGGAGAGGUGAGUGGAACUGCGAGUGUAGAGGUGAAAUUCGUAGAUAUUCGCAAGAACACCAGUGGCGAAGGCGGCUCACUGGCCCGAUACUGACGCUGAGGUGCGAAAGCGUGGGGAGCAAACAGG